UGAUUGGAUUUGAAGCCUGCUCCACAGUA
This 29-nucleotide non-coding RNA is filed under the name Mus musculus (house mouse). The record is from RNAcentral. Lineage: Eukaryota; Metazoa; Chordata; Mammalia; Rodentia; Muridae.